AUUGAACGCUGGCGGCAUGCCUUACACAUGCAAGUCGAACGGCAGCACGGGUGCUUACACCUGGUGGCGAGUGGCGAACGGGUGAGUAAUACAUCGGAACGUACCUUAUCGUGGGGGAUAACGCAGCGAAAGCUGUGCUAAUACCGCAUACGCCCUGAGGGGGAAAGCGGGGGAUCGCAAGACCUCGCGCGAUUAGAGCGGCCGAUGCCUGAUUAGCUAGUUGGUGGGGUAUAAGCCCCCCAAGGCGAAGAUCAGUAGCUGGGCUGAGAGGACGAUCAGCCACACUGGGACUGAGACACGGCCCAGACUCCUACGGGAGGCAGCGGUGGGGAAGUUUGAGCGAUGGGGCAACGCUGAGCCAGCAAUGCCGCGUGAGUGAAGAAGGACUUCGGGUUGUAAAGCUCUUUUGUCAGGGAAGAAACACCGGCUCUAACACAGUCCGGGAAUGACGGUACCUGAAGAAUAAGCACCGGCUAACUCCGUGCCAGCAGCCGCAGUAA
RNAcentral lists this ribosomal RNA (500 nucleotides) under uncultured bacterium. RNAcentral's name for it is "partial 16S ribosomal RNA". It matches the Rfam family "Bacterial small subunit ribosomal RNA", at positions 29 to 523 of the family's 1533-position model. The record is from RNAcentral.